GUGCUGUGGUCGAACUUCGUAACCAGCGGCGUGUUUAGUAUGUGAACUAUUUAGAAAGUAAAAUACAAAAACCAGCGUUAAUUUGUUUAUGAGAAACUUUUAGCAUGCAAUGGAAGCGUUGGGGAUCGUCCUACUGGUCUUGCUCUCACUGCUUACAUUGGCCUAUCUUUGCCUGGCUGAUGUGGAGAUGCAUGCAGCUAUCGUCGCUAUG
Long non-coding RNA from Priapulus caudatus, 211 nucleotides. RefSeq lists it as uncharacterized. NCBI's taxonomy places the organism in Eukaryota, Metazoa, Priapulida, Priapulimorpha, Priapulimorphida, Priapulidae. The transcript has 3 exons. The record is from RefSeq and is a predicted model, not a curated record.